Long non-coding RNA from Panicum virgatum (switchgrass), 415 nucleotides. RefSeq lists it as uncharacterized. The record is from RefSeq and is a predicted model, not a curated record. Lineage: Eukaryota; Viridiplantae; Streptophyta; Magnoliopsida; Poales; Poaceae. The transcript has 3 exons.
UUUAUUAAAAAGGUGUCCUUCAAUUGCAGCUUCCAAAACAGUUGCAGAGCUUCUUGGCUGCAGUAUUGAAGAUCUUAAUUUGGCUUUGUCAAAGCGCCACAUGAAAGUCAAUAAUGAAAACAUUGUCCAGAAACUUACGCUUGCCCAGGCUACUGAUGCAAGAGACGCACUGGCCAAAUCAGUCUAUGCCAGUUUGUUUGAGUGGCUUGUAGAACAAAUUAAUAAAUCUCUCUCAGUUGGCAAGCGUCGAACUGGGCGAUCAAUCAGUAUUCUUGAUAUCUACGGCUUUGAAUCAUUUGAUAAGAACAGUUUUGAACAGUUCUGCAUCAAUUAUGCCAAUGAGAGGCUACAACAACAUUUCAAUCGUCAUUUGUUUAAGCUUGAACAAGAGGUGAGUUGCUUUUUAUGUUUUAGC